GAUGAACGCUGGCGGCGUGCCUAAUACAUGCAAGUCGAGCGAACGGACGAGAAGCUUGCUUCUCUGAUGUUAGCGGCGGACGGGUGAGUAACACGUGGAUAACCUACCUAUAAGACUGGGAUAACUUCGGGAAACCGUAGCUAAUACCGGAUAAUAUUUUGAACCGCAUGGUUCAAAAGUGAAAGACGGUCUUGCUGUCACUUAUAGAUGGAUCCGCGCUGCAUUAGCUAGUUGGUAAGGUAACGGCUUACCAAGGCAACGAUGCAUAGCCGACCUGAGAGGGUGGUCGGCCACACUGGAGCUGAGACACGGUCCAGACUCCUACGAGAGGCAGCAGUAGGGAAUCUUCCGCAAUGGGCGAAAGCCUGACGGAGCAACGCCGCGUGAGUGAUGAAGGUCUUCGGAUCGUAAAACUCUGUUAUUAGGGAAGAACAUAUGUGUAAGUAACUGUGCACAUCUUGACGGUACCUAAUCAGAAAGCCACGGCUAACUACGUG
RNAcentral lists this ribosomal RNA (497 nucleotides) under uncultured bacterium. RNAcentral describes it as "partial 16S ribosomal RNA". It matches the Rfam family "Bacterial small subunit ribosomal RNA", at positions 28 to 507 of the family's 1533-position model. The record is from RNAcentral.